AACGAACGCUGGCGGCAGGCCUAACACAUGCAAGUCGAGCGCCCCGACAGGGAGGCGGCGGACGGGUGAGUAACGCGUGGGAACGUACUCUUUGCUACGGAAUAGACUCGGGAAACUGGGAGUAAUACCGGAUGUGUCCUUCGGGAGAAAGAUAUAUCGGCAAGGGAUCGGCUCGCGUUGGAUUAGGUGGUUGGUGGGGUAAUGGCCUAUCAAGCGGACGAUGCAUAGCUGGUUUGAGAGGAAGGUCAGACACACUGGGACUGAGACACAGCCCAGAAUCCUACGCGAGGCGGCAGAGGGGGAUCGUGGAAAAUGGGCGCAAUCCUGAUCUAGCCAUGCCGCGUGAGCGAUGAAGUCAGUAGGGUUGUAAAGCUCUUUCAGGGGGGAAGAUAAUGACGGUACCCACAGAAGAAGCCCCGGCUAACUCCGUG
This 431-nucleotide ribosomal RNA is filed under the name uncultured bacterium. Its description in RNAcentral is "partial 16S ribosomal RNA". It matches the Rfam family "Bacterial small subunit ribosomal RNA", at positions 29 to 507 of the family's 1533-position model. The record is from RNAcentral.